Molecule: ribosomal RNA, 168 nt
Filed under: Calotomus japonicus (Japanese parrotfish)
Lineage: Eukaryota; Metazoa; Chordata; Actinopteri; Labriformes; Labridae
Description: partial 12S ribosomal RNA
Source: RNAcentral
CACCGCGGUUACACGAGGAGCCCAAGUCGAUAAAUAACGGCGUAAAGGGUGGUUAAGGGUUUUUCAAAACUAGAGUCGAACUUCUUCAAAGCUGUAAUACGCAUUCGAAAACGGAAGAACAACUACGAAAGUGGCUCUAACCCUCCCGACACCACGAAAGCUAUGGAA